CGACCGCUGGCGGCGUGCCUAAUACAUGCAAGUCGAGCGGACUUUCAAGAAGCUUGCUUUUUGAAAGUUAGCGGCGGACGGGUGAGUAACACGUGGGCAACCUGCCUGCAAGACGGGGAUAACUCCGGGAAACCGGGGCUAAUACCGGAUAAUAUCUUCCUUCGCAUGAAGGAAGGUUGAAAGGCGGCGCAAGCUGCCGCUUGCAGAUGGGCCCGCGGCGCAUUAGCUAGUUGGUGAGGUAACGGCUCACCAAGGCGACGAUGCGUAGCCGACCUGAGAGGGUGAUCGGCCACACUGGGACUGAGACACGGCCCAGACUCCUACGGGAGGCAGCAGUAGGGAAUCUUCCGCAAUGGACGAAAGUCUGACGGAGCAACGCCGCGUGAGCGAAGAAGGUCUUCGGAUCGUAAAGCUCUGUUGUCAGGGAAGAACAAGUACCGUUCGAACAGGGCGGUACCUUGACGGUACCUGACCAGAAAGCCACGGCUAACUACGUG
RNAcentral lists this ribosomal RNA (497 nucleotides) under uncultured bacterium. RNAcentral's name for it is "partial 16S ribosomal RNA". It matches the Rfam family "Bacterial small subunit ribosomal RNA", at positions 30 to 507 of the family's 1533-position model. The record is from RNAcentral.